Cynocephalus volans (Philippine flying lemur) is the source of this 138-nucleotide small nucleolar RNA. NCBI's taxonomy places the organism in Eukaryota, Metazoa, Chordata, Mammalia, Dermoptera, Cynocephalidae. The record is from RefSeq and is a predicted model, not a curated record.
GUGGCCCUAACUGAAGACCAGCAGUUACACUAUAGCUGUUGGUUUCAAGCAGAGGCCUUAUAGGACUGUCUUCUUAUGGUCUGUUGGCUGUUCUGGAACCUCAGUAGAGAACAGCUAUUUCAUUUGAAAGAAACAAUC